Molecule: ribosomal RNA, 392 nt
Filed under: uncultured bacterium
Lineage: Bacteria
Description: bacterial SSU rRNA
Rfam family: Bacterial small subunit ribosomal RNA
Source: RNAcentral
AUUGAACGCUGGCGGCAUGCCUUACACAUGCAAGUCGAACGGUAACAGCACUUCGGUGGCUGACGAGUGGCGAACGGGUGAGUAAUACAUCGGAACGUGCCCGAGAGUGGGGGAUAACGCAGCGAAAGCUGUGCUAAUACCGCAUACGAUCUACGGAUGAAAGCAGGGGAUUCGCAAGGACCUUGCGCUCAUGGAGCGGCCGAAGGUAGAUUAGGUAGUUGGUGGGAUAAAAGCUUACCAAGCCGACGAUCUGUAGCUGGUCUGAGAGGACGACCAGCCACACUGGGACUGAGACACGGCCCAGACUCCUACGGGAGGCAGCAGUGGGGAAUUUUGGACAAUGGGCGGAAAGACCUGAUCCAGCCAUGCCGCGUGCAGGAUGAAGGCCUCGG